ACGGGUGAGUAAUGCCUAGGAAAUUGCCUUGAUGUGGGGGAUAACCAUUGGAAACGAUGGCUAAUACCGCAUAAUGCCUACGGGCCAAAGAGGGGGACCUUCGGGCCUCUCGCGUCAAGAUAUGCCUAGGUGGGAUUAGCUAGUUGGUGAGGUAAUGGCUCACCAAGGCGACGAUCCCUAGCUGGUCUGAGAGGAUGAUCAGC
Molecule: ribosomal RNA, 203 nt
Filed under: Vibrio sp. OPT20
Lineage: Bacteria; Pseudomonadati; Pseudomonadota; Gammaproteobacteria; Vibrionales; Vibrionaceae
Description: partial 16S ribosomal RNA
Rfam family: Bacterial small subunit ribosomal RNA
Source: RNAcentral